AAGACGAACCGUGCGAACGUUGUUCGGAAUCACUGGGCUUAAAGGGCGCGUAGGCGGGCAUUCAAGUCAGGGGUGAAAUCCUCCAGCUCAACUGGAGAACUGCCUUUGAUACUGGGUGCCUCGAGUGAGGUAGGGGCGUGCGGAACUGAUGGUGGAGCGGUGAAAUGUGUUGAUAUCAUCAGGAACUCCGGUGGCGAAAGCGGCGCGCUGGACCUCUUCUGACGCUGAGGAGCGAAAGCUAGGGGAGCAAACG
Molecule: ribosomal RNA, 253 nt
Filed under: uncultured prokaryote
Description: partial 16S ribosomal RNA
Rfam family: Bacterial small subunit ribosomal RNA
Source: RNAcentral